Cornus florida is the source of this 1134-nucleotide long non-coding RNA. RefSeq lists it as uncharacterized. The transcript has 2 exons. The record is from RefSeq and is a predicted model, not a curated record. NCBI's taxonomy places the organism in Eukaryota, Viridiplantae, Streptophyta, Magnoliopsida, Cornales, Cornaceae.
UCAAUCAAUAUUUUUGGUCUACUUGAAAUAUUUAGAAUUCAUGUAUUUUGUAUUUGUUGUAUUGUCAUACUUUUGAAUUGACCCAAGCAUGACAUGCCUUAAAAAAGCAUGGACACUACUUUGAAUGGCGUGGUGUCCAAAUUGGCAGCCCAUUGUGAUAAGUACAAAUAGGGAUAAGACCCUCAAACCCCAAAAAAAAAUUACUCACGUUCAUCAUCCUCUUUGAAUCUUCUCAAGUACUGUCUGUAACAAGCAGGUGCUUAUCUAAAAAAUAAGAGCAUUAAAGAAGUUAACUCAACCUGAAUGGAAGAAAGAAGCAAAGUGGAAGCAAAUUGAAGCAAAGUAUGGAAAUUCAGCAUGUUCGAUCGAUCUCAGCAAUUCUCAGAUCGAUCGAAAGUUCAUCGAUCUAAACAAUUCAAGAUGGAUCCAAACCUUUGUCCUUAUCCAAAAGAAUCCAACAAGUUUGAUCGAUCGAACAUUUCCCAUAUCGAUCGAAAUGAUUUGAUCUUAUCCAUACCUACCACCCACCUACCACUUUUGUCUUUUUCCCAAAAAUAUCUCAGAGAUUUGUCUUUAUUCAAAAAGGCGCAGCCAAAGAUGAUCGAUCUCUGCAGCAUUCGAUGGAUCUCAGCCAUGUUCGAUUGAUCUCAACACAGUUCGAUCGAUCAAACUUCCUCAAGUCCAAAAAAAAAAAAUAGAUUCCAGCUUAUUAAAAGUUGGCUCAUGGUGCAAUCAUUGGAGGGACAUUGGUGUACGAGCCCAGACCAUUGGGUGACAUUUUGACCUACCUAUAUAAGGAUUGAGAGCCACUUUUAGAGCAUAGUUGUUAUUCAUAACUUGUAAUUUUCUUAUCUUGGAGAGGAGGCUAAAGAUUAUAGAGCUUUUACACAUUUUGGGAGUUCUUCCAUUCUUCUAGGGUUUCCAUCAAGAAGGAGGUCAUUCCUACCAUGGAGAUAACCCUUGAGGGUUGGAUGACUACUUUAAUGAGUGGCUAGACAUCUACUUAGGCCUAGAGUAGCCCUUAAGUUUGCUUCCUAGACUUAGUUCUUUGAUCUUAGAUUUAUAUGUAUAUCUUGCGGUUUCUACUUGAUGUGUAUGGAUUAAUGCUUUCAAUUGAUUAUCUACUUCUAACCA